GGGAGGGGGGGCAUGAAACAGGAAGCACUACGCAUCACGCAGUGGCAACAAACAUCGCACAGGGAGGUCAGAUAUUCCCAGGACCGGUGACGGCCCCAGGUGGCUGCUGGGAGUUGUAGUGCGCACCCACCGGCGCUCUUGUCCAGGAAGUAGGCCAGCAGGCAGCGCAUGACGGCCUGGUGGCAGAUGACCAGAACGUUCUCCUGUCGCUCCAUCUCCAUGAUCACCGGCUCCACGCGCUGAACCAGGUCCUGGUACGACUACACGCGCACACACGCACGCGCACACACAGGCAUGUUAUUCUGGCUGUGCUUUUAGAUGUGUUAUUCGAAAAAGGUCUUGCCAUAUCUUAAGAAGAUAUUGCAUCAUUACUGAUAUGGUGUUUUGAUUUCAGUUUCAUGUUUAGAUAAAACGAUAUUGUGUAUCUAAAUAACAUUCCGGCAUUUGUGUGUGUGUGUGUGUGUGUGUG
Long non-coding RNA from Gadus macrocephalus (Pacific cod), 469 nucleotides. RefSeq lists it as uncharacterized. The transcript has 2 exons. The record is from RefSeq and is a predicted model, not a curated record. Lineage: Eukaryota; Metazoa; Chordata; Actinopteri; Gadiformes; Gadidae.